GGAGCCCAGUCCUGGAUUCCCAGGUUCUCCCAUUCAGUGAUCAGCAUCCAACACAGAUCACUCACCAUGGACUUGUGGCUUAUUUGGCUUUUCGUUGCCAUUAUUUUAUGUGGUGGCCAGUGUGAGGUGCAGCUGGUGGAGUCUGGAGGAGGCUUAGUGAAGCCUGGAAAGUCCCUGAAAAUCUCCUGUGCAGCCUCUGGAUUCACCUUCAGUGGUUAUUACAUGAGCUGGGUCCGCCAGGCUCCAGGGAAAGGCCUGGAAUGGGUCGCGUAUAUUAGUGGUGAUAGUAGCGACAUUGCAUAUGCUGAUGCCGUGAAGGGCCGAUUCACCAUCUCCAGAGACAAUGCCAAGAACACCCUGUACCUGGAAAUGAACAGUCUGAGGUCUGAGGACACAGCCAUGUAUUACUGCACCAGAUUCACAGUGAUGCAAAGUUACUGUGAGAUCAGACACAAACCUUCCUGCAGGGCGCCUGUGACCAGCAGGAGGCGCAGAGAGCAUCCAGCGAUCUGGGUCAGUACCAAGGCAUUGAAAAAAGCCCUGAAUCCUUUUCUCUAUGUUGAUCUUCACGACAAGACAAUCAGUGUAGCGUGCAGAGAUGUAGCGUGCGGAGAUGUAGCGCGCACCAUGGCGCUGUCAUGUCGGGGGCACAGAGCCUGGGCGCCGUUUGCUGUUCCACGUCAAACUUAA
Non-coding RNA from Alexandromys fortis (reed vole), 690 nucleotides. The record is from the annotation of a RefSeq genome assembly. Lineage: Eukaryota; Metazoa; Chordata; Mammalia; Rodentia; Cricetidae.